GACGAACGCUGGCGGCGUGCUUAACACAUGCAAGUCGAACGCUGAACCCGCUUCGGUGGGGGAUGAGUGGCGAACGGGUGAGUAACACGUGGGCAACCUGCCCCCGGCUCUGGGAUAACUCCAAGAAAUUGGGGCUAAUACCGGCUGUGACCGCUGGCCGCAUGGUCUGGUGGUGGAAAGGGUUUCCGGCUGGGGAUGGGCCCGCGGCCUAUCAGCUUGUUGGUGGGGUAGUGGCCUACCAAGGCGACGACGGGUAGCCGGCCUGAGAGGGUGACCGGCGACACUGGGACUGAGACACGGCCGCGACGACUACGGGAGGCAGCAGUGGGGAAUAUUGCGCAAUGGGCGGAGGCCGGACGCAGCGACGCCGCGUGGGGGAUGACGGCCUUCGGGUUGUAAACCUCUUUCAGCAGGGACGAAGCGGAAGUGACGGUACCUGCAGAAGAAGCACCGGCCAACUACGUG
Molecule: ribosomal RNA, 465 nt
Filed under: uncultured bacterium
Lineage: Bacteria
Description: partial 16S ribosomal RNA
Rfam family: Bacterial small subunit ribosomal RNA
Source: RNAcentral